CCUACGGGAGGCAGCAGUAGGGAAUAUUGGGCAAUGGGCGCAAGCCUGACCCAGCCAUGCCGCGUGCAGGAAGACGGCCCUCUGGGUUGUAAACUGCUUUUGGGAGGGGACAAAAAGCCAAUGCGUUGGAAAUUGAGUGUACCUCCAGAAUAAGCACCGGCUAACUCCGUGCCAGCAGCCGCGGUAAUACGGAGGGUGCAAGCGUUGUCCGGAUUUAUUGGGUUUAAAGGGUGCGUAGGCGGCCUAAUAAGUCGGAGGUGAAACCCACAGGCUUAACCUGUGGAGUGCCUUCGAUACUGUUAGGCUUGGGUUAUCUCUAGGCGGGCGGAAUGGAAGGUGUAGCGGUGAAAUGCAUAGAUAUCUACCAGAACGCCGAUAGCGAAGGCAGCUCGCUGGGGAUAUACCGACGCUGAGGCACGAUAGCGUGGGGAUCAAACAGGAUUAGAUACCCCUGUAGUC
This 459-nucleotide ribosomal RNA is filed under the name uncultured bacterium. RNAcentral describes it as "bacterial SSU rRNA". It matches the Rfam family "Bacterial small subunit ribosomal RNA", at positions 338 to 795 of the family's 1533-position model. The record is from RNAcentral.